ACUGGAAUUGCUGGGUCAUUGUAGUCAGUCUGUAUUUUUCUUUUUAAGAAGCUGUCAAAUUGUGUUCCAAAGAGGCUGCACCACUUUGCAUUUCUACCAGAAGU
This 104-nucleotide microRNA precursor is filed under the name Marmota monax (woodchuck). The record is from RNAcentral. Lineage: Eukaryota; Metazoa; Chordata; Mammalia; Rodentia; Sciuridae.